RNAcentral lists this ribosomal RNA (469 nucleotides) under uncultured bacterium. RNAcentral's name for it is "partial 16S ribosomal RNA". It matches the Rfam family "Bacterial small subunit ribosomal RNA", at positions 28 to 507 of the family's 1533-position model. The record is from RNAcentral.
GACGAACGCUGGCGGCGUGCUUAACGCAUGCAAGUCGAACGGAAAGGCCCUGCUUGCCGGGUGCUCGAGUGGCGAACGGGUGAGUAACACGUGGGUGAUCUGCCCCUUAUUUUGGGAUAAGCCUGGGAAACUGGGUCUAAUACUGGAUAGGACCAUGCUGUAGGUGGUGUGGUGGAAAGAUUAGUUUCGGUAAGGGAUGAGCUCGCGGCCUAUCAGCUUGUUGGUGGGGUAAUGGCCUACCAAGGCGUCGACGGGUAGCCGGCCUGAGAGGGUGGACGGCCACAUUGGGACUACGAUACGGCCCAGACUCCUACGGGAGGCAGCAGUGGGGAAGAUUGCACAAUGGGGGCAAGCCGGAUGCAGCGACGCCGCGUGGGGGAUGACGGCCGUCGGGUUGUAAACUCCUUUCAGCCAUGACGAAGCCCUUGUGGUGACGGUAGUGGUAGAAGAAGCACCGGCUAACUACGUG